Molecule: long non-coding RNA, 766 nt
Filed under: Homo sapiens (human)
Lineage: Eukaryota; Metazoa; Chordata; Mammalia; Primates; Hominidae
Description: MEF2C antisense RNA 1
Source: RNAcentral
GGAGUGUUUCUAGAGCUCGGAGGCUGCUGGUAGGGGGGCACCACUUUCAGAUAAAAACAUAGACCUGAAUGGCAUCAUCCAGUAUCCAAGGAAACCAUGUUCUCUAAACAUGAAUAUGCCUUUGGGGGAAGACAGAAGAACAUGGAAGCCAUGUGAAAAAAACGGAUCCUAAGGCAGUUUUGAACAUCUGGAGGCCUGAUUUAUUGGAGAUUGCAAAUGUACAGUGUAACAUAGCUGUGGAGAGAGACUCCAUGAAGGAAAAAGUAUAGUAUUGAUGAGGAAUACCUUGUUAUAUUUCAAUAAGGAUACAUGGAUUCUAUAUCAUAUAAGGUUUCGUCUCUGAAGCAACUGAACGACUCAGAGAAUGGAAGUAGGAUUCACAGAUGGGGUCCGGGGCUUUAAGAAGAGAACAGUCCUUGCACUCCUGGUGGGUGUGACUCAGAGAAGAGUACCACCCUCCACGUUUGCCCCUCUCUCCUCUCAAAAGCCCUAUAGGAAGAUAUUUGAGAGUAUGUGCAUGCAGAAUGCCCCUCCUUUUGAGCCAUUAGCUUUCCAAGAAUUUUUCAGUCCCAUGACCACUUUCUACUUCUCUCACUCUUUCACCUUUUUCUGUUAGUUAUGAGUGUUUUUACUCUCCCAAUACGUUUUACUCUUCUUCCUCCCUCUUUCUUUUCUGCCAUGAGCCACCUCCAUUUUCUUAAUUGAAUAAAAUUGGAACCUGUCAUAUAUUUAGCAUACUCAUUAAAUAAAUGUUACUACCUAAGAA